CAUACCGAGUCCGGACUCUUGCGGCCCAACCUCCC
This 35-nucleotide ribosomal RNA is filed under the name Talaromyces pinophilus. Its description in RNAcentral is "partial 18S ribosomal RNA". Lineage: Eukaryota; Fungi; Ascomycota; Eurotiomycetes; Eurotiales; Trichocomaceae. The record is from RNAcentral.